AAAGAUUUAAAGCAAGUUCUAGAGAUAUAUAAUCAAGGAAUGAAUAUGCACACAACAAAAGAAAUAGAUUGAUAUUGAAGUUUCAAUUAUAAGCUCAAAAGCUCACAAAAGGUAUUGAUCUUCCAUAUUAGAAUAUUCAACAUUUCAAUUAAAUUAUCACAUAAAGAAAGCUUAAGUUGUAAUUCAACUCAUUCAAUUUACCUAUGCUCUCAUCAAGCUAAAUCAAUCCAUACUCAUAAUAUACCUAAUCUCAUUAAUCUUGGA
This 264-nucleotide unclassified non-coding RNA is filed under the name Hevea brasiliensis (rubber tree). Lineage: Eukaryota; Viridiplantae; Streptophyta; Magnoliopsida; Malpighiales; Euphorbiaceae. The record is from RNAcentral.